UGUCUAUACAGGUCUGGAAAAAAAUUAAGAGACCACUGCAAAAUGAUCAGUUUCUCUGGUUUUACUAUUUAUACAUAUGUUUGGGUAAAAUGAACAUUUUUGUUUUAUUCUAUAAACUACUGACAACAUUUCUCACGAAUUCCAAAUAAAAAUAUUGUCAUUUAGGGAAAUAACAAAAAAGAUGCAGUGUUGUCCGACCUCGAAUAAUGCAAAGACACACACACACACACAGUCCAGACCGACAUACACACACAGACCAUACAGACACACAGACCAUACAGACAUUACAGACACACAGACAUUACAGACACACAGACAUUACAGACACACACAGACCAUACAGACCAUACAGACACACACAGUCCAGACCGACAUACACACACAGACCACACAGACACACACAGACCAUACAGACCAUACAGACACACACAGACCAUACAGACACACACAGCCCAGACCGACAUACACACAACACACACAGACCAUACAGACCAUACAGACACACACAACCGACAUACACACACAGACCAUACAGACACACACAGACCAUACAGACCAUACAGACACACACAGUCCAGACCGACAUACACACACAGACCAUACAGAUACACACAGACCAUACAGACACACACAGCCCAGACCGACAUACACACACAGACCAUACAGACACACACAGACCACACAGACCAUACAGACACACACAGACCAUACAGACCAUACAGACACACACAGUCCAGACCGACAUACACACACAGACCAUACAGAUACACACAGACCAUACAGACACACACAGACCAUACAGACACACACAGACCACACAGACCAUACAGACACACACAGACCAUACAGACACACACAGACCAUACAGACACACACAGUCCAGACCGACAUACAGACCAUACAGAUACACACAGACCAUACAGACACACACAGACCAUACAGACACACACAGACCAUACAGACCAUACAGACACACAGACCAUACAGACACACACAGACCAUACAGACCAUACAGACACACACAGUCCAGACCGACAUACACACACAGACCAUACAGACACACACAGACCAUACAGACACACACAGACCAUACAGACACACACAGACCAUACAGACACACACAGACCAUACAGACCAUACAGACACACACAGACCAUACAGACACACAGACCAUACAGACACACACAGACCAUACAGACACACACAGUCCAGACCGACAUACACACACAGACCAUACAGACACACACAGACCAUACAGACACACACAGCCCAGACCGACAUACAGACACACACAGACCAUACAGACACACGCAGCCCAGACAGUCAAUAAACAACC
Molecule: long non-coding RNA, 1336 nt
Filed under: Salmo salar (Atlantic salmon)
Lineage: Eukaryota; Metazoa; Chordata; Actinopteri; Salmoniformes; Salmonidae
Description: lncRNA (ENSSSAG00000091629.1)
Source: RNAcentral